GGCGUAUCGAAAUGAUUGAUAUGUCAUUCGAUUGCUAAAAGUUGUGCGAACAAGUGUAAAAAAUGUCUAGCUCCGUAAAUAUGUGGAACCCGUCCGAAUUGUACAAGCGCGUAACGUGUGUUAUGAUGGCUCGUGCCGGCCAUACGAAUGCCGAAAUUCGGAAGGCGGCGAUGUGUUCGCUGAACACCGUAAAAACAAUACGGUGGCCAAUGGGCGGCCGUACAUUUGGCAGCAGGAUUCAGCAUCAUGCCAUACGGCCGUUAAAACACGCCAAUGGCUCACUGCCAAUUUCGACCGAUACACCAGCACCGACGUUUGGCCACCCAGCUCCCCUGACCUUAAUCCUAUGGAUUACUUUGUGUGGGGCACAGUUGAGCGGGACACCAACAGGGCGUCCUGCAAUACCAAAGCGGAGCUGGUGGCCAGAAUAAAGGCCGUGUUUGCGGCCAUCCCCAGAGACAUGGUUGUCCGGGCUUGCGCGCGGUUCCGGAAGCGGGUGCAGGCGGCCAUCGACGCGGAGGGGGGGUACUUCGAAUAAAAAAUGCGGCAAACAUGAAACUGUCAAAUUUAUAUAUAUAUAUAUGGGACUACCAUCACCUUGGACGGUCUUAAAAAACUUAAAAGACACAUACGAGGCCAAAAGUCGUUCUGAGAAUCUUCCUCCCGAUCAAAAGGGUUUCUUCAGAUUUGAUAAAUAUGAAAAUAAAUCUACGUGAUUUUUUGUAUCCAUGAGUUUGAGUAGAGAAGCAAUUAAAGUA
Long non-coding RNA from Anopheles arabiensis, 758 nucleotides. RefSeq lists it as uncharacterized. The transcript has 2 exons. NCBI's taxonomy places the organism in Eukaryota, Metazoa, Arthropoda, Insecta, Diptera, Culicidae. The record is from RefSeq and is a predicted model, not a curated record.